CCUAAAUAUUUAUAUUCUGUAUCUUUUUGAAUUAAAACAUCAUAAAAUGUUAUUCAAGGCAUCAGGCGUUUCCAUCACGCGAAAAGACCGACGCGACACUCGUUUAGGUGACUCACAUCGCUCCCCUGUAUGUUGCUUUGCAUAAAAUUAAACGAUAUACAGAACAAUAACAAAUUUUAGAUAAAAUAAAAUGUACACAAACCUGUAUUUUACCGAAGACAUGCACCAAUUUGACAGAGCUGCACCGCUCUCUCCUGAAGAGGGCGCAAAAAGCCCGCAAUAAAUAACUCAACCCCUGGGUUGUUACGUCUGACCCAGGAUCUGGGUAACACAAAAACUACCCAAACGCUGGGUUGUUAUGUCUGACCCAGGAUCUGACUGACACAAAAACUACCCAAACGCUGGGUUGUUACGUCUGACCCAGGAUCUGAGUAACACAAAAACUACCCAAACGCUGGGUUGUUACGUUUGACCCAGGAUCUGAGUAACACAAAAACUACCCAAACUCUGGGUUGUUACGUUUGACCCAGGAUCUGGGUAACACAAAAACUACCCAAACGCUGGGUUGUUACGUCUGACCCAGGAUCUGAGUAACACAAAAACUACCCAAACGCUGGGUUGUUACGUCUGACCCAGGAUCUGGGUAACACAAAAACUACCCAAACGCUGGGUUGUUACGUCUGACCCAGGAUCUGGGUAACACAAAAACUACCCAAACACUGGGUUGUUACGUCUGACCCAGGAUCUGGGUAACACAAAAACUACCCAAACGCUGGGUUGUUAUGUCUGACCCAGGAUCUGACUGACACAAAAACUACCCAAACGCUGGGUUGUUACGUCUGACCCAGGAUCUGAGUAACACAAAAACUACCCAAACGCUGGGUUGUUACGUCUGACCCAGGAUCUGACUGACACAAAAACUACCCAAACGCUGGGUUGUUACGUCUGACCCAGGAUCUGAGUAACACAAAAACUACCCAAACGCUGGGUUGUUACGUUUGACCCAGGAUCUGGGUAACACAAAAACUACCCAAACUCUGGGUUGUUACGUCUGACCCAGGAUCUGAGUAACACAAAAACUACCCAAACGCUGGGUUGUUACGUCUGACCCAGGAUCUGAGUAACACAAAAACUACCCAAACGCUGGGUUGUUACGUCUGACCCAGGAUCUGGGUAACACAAAAACUACCCAAACGCUGGGUUGUUACGUUUGACCCAGGAUCUGAGUAACACAAAAACUACCCAAACACUGGGUUGUUACGUCUGACCCAGGAUCUGGGUAACACAAAAACUACCCAAACGCUGGGUUGUUACGUUUGACCCAGGAUCUGAGUAACACAAAAACUACCCAAACACUGGGUUGUUACAUCUGACCCAGGAUCUGGGUAACACAAAAACUACCCAAACACUGGGUUGUUACGUCUGACCCAGGAUCUGGUAACACAAAAACUACCCAAACACUGGGUUGUUACGUCUGACCCAGGAUCUGAGUAACACAAAAACUACCCAAACUCUGGGUUGUUACGUCUGACCCAGGAUCUGGUAACACAAAAACUACCCAAACUCUGGGUUGUUACGUCUGACCCAGGAUCUGGUAACACAAAAACUACCCAAACUCUGGGUUGUUACGUCUGACCCAGGAUCUGAGUAACACAAAAACUACCCAAACUCUGGGUUGUUACGUCUGACCCAGGAUCUGGUAACACAAAAACUACCCAAACACUGGGUUGUUAUGUCUGACCCAGGAUCUGGUAACACAAAAACUACCCAAACUCUGGGUUGUUAUGUCUGACCCAGGAUCUGGUAACACAAAAACUACCCAAACACUGGGUUGUUACGUCUGACCCAGGAUCUGAGUAACACAAAAACUACCCAAACGCUGGGUUGUUACGUCUGACCCAGGAUCUGGUAACACAAAAACUACCCAAACUCUGGGUUGUUACGUCUGACCCAGGAUCUGGUAACACAAAAACUACCCAAACUCUGGGUUGUUACGUCUGACCCAGGAUCUGGUAACACAAAAACUACCCAAACGCUGGGUUGUUACGUCUGACCCAGGAUCUGGGUAACACAAAAACUACCCAAACGCUGGGUUGUUACGUCUGACCCAGGAUCUGGGUAACACAAAAACUACCCAAACGCUGG
Molecule: long non-coding RNA, 2145 nt
Organism: Ctenopharyngodon idella (grass carp)
Lineage: Eukaryota; Metazoa; Chordata; Actinopteri; Cypriniformes; Xenocyprididae
Exons: 2
Source: RefSeq, a predicted model, not a curated record